This 492-nucleotide ribosomal RNA is filed under the name uncultured bacterium. RNAcentral's name for it is "partial 16S ribosomal RNA". It matches the Rfam family "Bacterial small subunit ribosomal RNA", at positions 29 to 507 of the family's 1533-position model. The record is from RNAcentral.
AGUGAACGCUGGCGGUAGGCCUAACACAUGCAAGUCGAACGGCAGCACAGUAAGAGCUUGCUCUUACGGGUGGCGAGUGGCGGACGGGUGAGGAAUACAUCGGAAUCUACUUUUUCGUGGGUGAUAACGUAGGGAAACUUACGCUAAUACCGCAUACGACCUACGGGUGGAAUCAUGGGAUCUUCGGACCUUGCGCGAUUGAAUGAGCCGAUGUCGGAUUAGCUAGUUGGCGGGGUAAAGGCCCACCAAGGCGACGAUCCGUAGCUGGUCUGAGAGGAUGAUCAGCCACACUGGAACUGAGACACGGUCCAGACUCCUACGGGAGGCAGCAGUGGGGAAUAUUGGACAAUGGGCGAAAGCCUGAUCCAGCCAUACCGCGUGGGUGAAGAAGGUCUUCGGGUUGUAAAGCCCUUUUGUUGGGAAAGAAAAGCAGCAGGUUAAUACCCCGCUGUUCUGACGGUACCCAAAGAAUAAGCACCGGCUAACUUCGUG